GCCGAGGUGAGGUAGUCUGGCAGCCUAGAGGCCUGUGGAGCCUUUUGCUUGGGUUCAAAUCCCAACCUCGGCCCCA
RNAcentral lists this transfer RNA (76 nucleotides) under Candidatus Bathyarchaeota archaeon. RNAcentral describes it as "tRNA-His". It matches the Rfam family "tRNA". From Rfam's summary of the family: Transfer RNA (tRNA) molecules are approximately 80 nucleotides in length. Their secondary structure includes four short double-helical elements and three loops (D, anti-codon, and T loops). Lineage: Archaea; Thermoproteati; Candidatus Bathyarchaeota. The record is from RNAcentral. RNAcentral also lists the same sequence under 2 other names.